UACGGAGGGUGCGAGCGUUGUCCGGAAUCACUGGGCGUAAAGGGCGCGUAGGCGGCGCGGGCAGUCAACGGUGAAAGCUUGGGGCUCAACCCCGAGUCGGCCGUCGAUACUCCCGGGCUGGAGCACUGUAGAGGCAGGUGGAAUUCCACGUGUAGCAGUGAAAUGCGUAGAGAUGUGGAGGAAUACCGAUGGCGAAGGCAGCCCCCUGGGUCAAGACUGACGCUCAUGCACGAAAGCGUGGGGAGCAAACAGG
This 253-nucleotide ribosomal RNA is filed under the name uncultured bacterium. RNAcentral describes it as "partial 16S ribosomal RNA". It matches the Rfam family "Bacterial small subunit ribosomal RNA", at positions 524 to 776 of the family's 1533-position model. The record is from RNAcentral.